CAGUCGCCACGGUAAUACGUAGGGUGCAAGCGUUAUCCGGAAUUAUUGGGCGUAAAGAGCUCGUAGGCGGUUUGUCGCGUCUGUUGUGAAAACUGGAGGCUCAACCUCCAGCCUGCAGUGGGUACGGGCAGACUAGAGUGCGGUAGGGGAGAUUGGAAUUCCUGGUGUAGCGGUGGAAUGCGCAGAUAUCAGGAGGAACACCGAUGGCGAAGGCAGAUCUCUGGGCCGUAACUGACGCUGAGGAGCGAAAGCAUGGGGAGCGAACAGGAUUAGAUACCCGUGUAGUCCCUGUCUCUUAUAC
This 301-nucleotide ribosomal RNA is filed under the name uncultured bacterium. RNAcentral describes it as "partial 16S ribosomal RNA". It matches the Rfam family "Bacterial small subunit ribosomal RNA", at positions 509 to 807 of the family's 1533-position model. The record is from RNAcentral.